RNAcentral lists this small RNA (29 nucleotides) under Bombyx mori (domestic silkworm). RNAcentral's name for it is "ovarian small RNA-4002". The record is from RNAcentral. Lineage: Eukaryota; Metazoa; Arthropoda; Insecta; Lepidoptera; Bombycidae.
UUCCGCGCUUUUCCCGCCGGCAGCGGGGG